AGGGAAUCUUCGGCAAUGGACGGAAGUCUGACCGAGCAACGCCGCGUGAGUGAAGAAGGUUUUCGGAUCGUAAAGCUCUGUUGUAAGAGAAGAACGAGUGUGAGAGUGGAAAGUUCACACUGUGCCGGUAUCUUACCAGAAAGGGACGGCUAACUACGUGCCAGCAGCCGCGGUAAUACGUAGGUCCCGAGCGUUGUCCGGAUUUAUUGGGCGUAAAGCGAGCGCAGGCGGUUAGAUAAGUCUGAAGUUAAAGGCUGUGGCUUAACCAUAGUACGCUUUGGAAACUGUUUAACUUGAGUGCAAGAGGGGAGAGUGGAAUUCCAUGUGUAGCGGUGAAAUGCGUAGAUAUAUGGAGGAACACCGGUGGCGAAAGCGGCUCUCUGGCUUGUAACUGACGCUGAGGCUCGAAAGCGUGGGGAGCAAACAGGAUUAGAUACCCUGGUAGUCCACGCCGUAAACGAUGAGUGCUAGGUGUUAGACCCUUUCCGGGGUUUAGUGCCGCAACUAACGCAUUAAGCACUCCGCCUGGGGAGUACGACCGCAAGGUUG
RNAcentral lists this ribosomal RNA (549 nucleotides) under uncultured bacterium. Its description in RNAcentral is "bacterial SSU rRNA". It matches the Rfam family "Bacterial small subunit ribosomal RNA", at positions 356 to 896 of the family's 1533-position model. The record is from RNAcentral.